GUUUUAGUAGCUUCAGGUUCAAGUAUAGGUGAGUGCAAGGACAGUAAACUUUCAAAAAGCAAUGAAGGAUAUAAGAUUUUGAUACAUGCAUGGUAGAUAUGUUUCCUCCUUAUAGUGUAGGUGACCCUAUAAGGGAAAUUGGAAGUAAUUGUGGUGUUGAAUUGAUGAGGAAAACACAGCUGUAAUAGAUCACCUUAACUUUGACGUCAAAGAUGAAGGCUUGCUGAGUAUAUGAAAUUGAAAGUAGGGAGCUUUCGAUUGCACGACGACGCAUACAUUGAUCAUAGCUGAUCCCUCGAACAUCAUAGAAUCUAAAACCAUUGUAGGAGAUAAGAAAUUAAAUCCAAUUUUAUUCAAGGGUGUUGGAAUGACUGCCGACCCGGAGAACCCCCUGGUAAUGGAUAUCUUACACGGUACUUCUUCCUCAUACUCCCACAAUCCUUCUAAUGACAUCGUCGACUAUCCACACGCUGUUGGUAAAAACACACAGUUCAUCACUGCCCUCCAGGCCCGCAACAAUGCUUGCGUUGUGUUCUCUGGUUCCUUGGAGUUUUUCAGCGAUGCUUACUUCCAGUCUGCCGUUCAAAGGCCGUUGCAGGCUCUGAAAGAUUUGCUAAGUCUGGCAACCAAGGCCUUGCAUAUGCUCUCUCUCAAUGGGUGUUCAAGGAGAAGGGCUUACUUCGUGUCACCGGUGUUAGCCAUCAUAUUGUCGGACAAAGGACACCCCCAGCUGCUUACACCACUGAAGAUCAUGUGGUAAGGCCUUUCUAUUUCAUAGCUUGCAUACAUUUGCUUAUGAGGCCAAAGCACAGUGAAAU
RNAcentral lists this unclassified non-coding RNA (818 nucleotides) under Anneissia japonica. RNAcentral describes it as "dolichyl-diphosphooligosaccharide--protein glycosyltransferase 48 kDa subunit-like, transcript variant X2". Lineage: Eukaryota; Metazoa; Echinodermata; Crinoidea; Comatulida; Comatulidae. The record is from RNAcentral.